Molecule: long non-coding RNA, 681 nt
Organism: Zea mays
Lineage: Eukaryota; Viridiplantae; Streptophyta; Magnoliopsida; Poales; Poaceae
Exons: 3
Source: RefSeq, a predicted model, not a curated record
UGCAGGGAGGAAUGUUGUUAUUGACCAAGAUGAUGUACCUAAAGUAAUUAAUGAUGGUGUCACAAUUGCCAAGGCUAUAGAGCUCCCAAAUGCACUUGAGCAUGCAGGUGCCACGCUACUUCAAGAAAUAGCAUCCAAGACAAAUAACGCUGUUGGUGAUGGAACUACAACGACAAUUGUUUUGGCUCGGGAAAUCAUCAAUCUUUGGUUGUUGGCAAUUGCCAUUGGUGCUAACCCAGUUGCAUUGAGAAGGGGUAUUGACAAAGUCGUUCAUGAGCUAAUUAAGAUCUUGAAGAGUAAAUGUAUCCCUGUGAGUACAAAGGAGGACAUAAAAGACAGAUAAUUGAAAAAGAGAAUUGAUCUUUUUUAUGGGCGAAGUGUUGAAGAUGGCUUUGGUGAAGGAAAUGUCUUGUUAGCAUCAAGUAAGUGGCGACAUUGCAACCACUACAAGCUUGUGCCUUAAAACAAGAGGAUACACAAGAAGUUGGAGUGCUUUUGUGAAGGAUUUUGCGAAUCACUUGAAGCGUUAGGACUUUUGUGAAUGAUUUUGUAAAGUGUUUGCAAAUAUGUGCAAAACAUAAUAACAUGUGUAGGUUUUGUGAAUGAUUUUGUUGUGGUGCUUGUUGAUGGUUUAUGUGAUGUGGAUCUAUCAUUGUGCAAUACUAAUUAAAUUUGUAUAUC